Non-coding RNA from Fukomys damarensis (Damara mole-rat), 580 nucleotides. NCBI's taxonomy places the organism in Eukaryota, Metazoa, Chordata, Mammalia, Rodentia, Bathyergidae. The record is from the annotation of a RefSeq genome assembly.
CCAGCCCUGGAUGCCCAGGUCCUCCUCCCUCUUGGUGAUCAGGAUUGAACACAGGCAGCGCAACAUGGAGCUUACCAUGCGUUGGGUUUUCCUGUUUGUAAUUUUGAAAGGUGUCCAAGCAGAGGUGCAGCUGGUGGAGUCCGGAGGAGGCUUGGUAGCACCUGGGGAGUCCCGGAAACUCUCCUGUUUGGCUUCGGGAUUUACCUUCACUGACUAUGCCAUGGGCUGGGUCCGCCAGGCUCCAGGGAAGGGGCUGGAAUGGAUCUCAUACAUCAGUAGUAGCGGUGGUAGCACAUACUACGCGGACUCCGUGAAGGGCCGAUUCACCAUCUCCAGAGAAAACGGGAAGAGCACGCUGUAUCUGGAAAUGAGCAGCCUGAGAACCGAGGACACGGCCGUGUAUUACUGUGCAAGACACACAGUGAGGGGACCUCAGUGUGCGCCCAGACACAAACCUCCCUGCAGGGGCGCUAUAGUCCAGCAGGGGUCACUGUGGUUCAAGGAGAACAAGGCAGGGCCCCAGCAGCAGGUGCAGAGAAGGCAGCAGAGGGGUGAGGGCUUCCUGUUGGCCUCAAGCUAG